CUACGUGCCAGCAGCCGCGGUAAUACGGAAGGUCCGGGCGUUAUCCGGAUUUAUUGGGUUUAAAGGGAGCGUAGGCUGGAGAUUAAGUGUGUUGUGAAAUGUAGACGCUCAACGUCUGACUUGCAGCGCAUACUGGUUUCCUUGAGUACGCACAACGUUGGCGGAAUUCGUCGUGUAGCGGUGAAAUGCUUAGAUAUGACGAAGAACUCCGAUUGCGAAGGCAGCUGACGGGAGCGCAACUGACGCUGAAGCUCGAAGGUGCGGGUAUCGAACAGGAUUAGAUACCCUGGUAGUCCGCACAGUAAACGAUGGAUGCCCGCUGUUGGUACCUGGUAUCAGCGGCUAAGCGAAAGCAUUAAGCAUCCCACCUGGGGAGUACGCCGGCAACGGUGAAACUCAAAGGAAUUGACGGGGGCCCGCACAAGCGGAGGAACAUGUGGUUUAAUUCGAUGAUACGCGAGGAACCUUACCCGGGCUUGAAUUGCAGUCGCUGCCCACAGAGACGUGGGCUUCCYUCGG
Molecule: ribosomal RNA, 519 nt
Filed under: uncultured bacterium
Lineage: Bacteria
Description: bacterial SSU rRNA
Rfam family: Bacterial small subunit ribosomal RNA
Source: RNAcentral